AUGCGGAAGAAGGCGAAGGCCGUGCCGGAGUGGCUGAACAGCCCGCUCUGGUCGACCCCGCCGCUCGCCUCGACCCUCGCCGACCCCUUCGGCACCGACUUCUCCCCGCCGCCUGCCCCGUCCCCCGAGCCGUCUCCUUCCGUUCCGCCGCCACCGAUGCGCGAGCAGGCGGUCGAUUCCCAUGCUGGCCGCGAGGGAGAGACACGAGAAGAGGACAGCGCCGGCGCUGCUCUCCGGGCGCACUUGCUUGCCGACUUCAAGGCCGCGCUGUCUAAGAAGGUGGUGAACAUGGGGGAGCUGCGGAGACUCGCUUGCCUUGGCGUGCCAGAUGGCGGCGGCACGGACGUACGACCGCUCGUGUGGAAGCUUCUCUUGGGGUAUUUGCCAACUGAACGCUCUUUAUGGCCUUAUGAACUAGAAAAGAAGCGAAGCCAGUACAGUGCAUAUAAAGAUGAGUUUCUUCUAAAUCCUUCAGAAAAAUUAUGUAGAAUCGAGGAAUCAAAGCUGUCAAGAAAGAAAGAAUUAACUGGUGAAAGGAAUGGCUUGCUCCCAAGGUCAGAAGUAACUAAUGAAGAGCAUCCUUUGAGCUUUGGUAAAUCUAGCUUGUGGAACCAAUACUUCCAGGAAUCAGAGAUCCUGGAGCAGAUAGACCGAGAUGUGAAGCGAACACAUCCAGACAAGUCGUUUUUUUCUGCCAAGUCUAACCAGGAAUCACUAAGGCGUAUUCUCAUUAUAUUUUCAAGAUUAUACCCUAGUGUAAGAUAUGUGCAAGGGUUGAAUGAAGUUUUGGCACCUCUAUUUUACGUAUUGAAGAACGACCUUGACACAAGUAACUCGACUUCAGCUGAAGCAGACACUUUCUUUUGCUUUGUUGAAUUGAUUAGUGGCUUUAAAAACAACUAUUGUAAACAUCUUGACAACAGCCGGGUGGGUAUUCGGGCUACACUUUCAAAGUUAUCUCAACUCUUAAAGAAACAUGACGAAGAGCUAUGGCGUCAUAUGGAGGUCAUUACAAAGGUGUACCCGCAAUACUAUGCAUUUAGAUGGAUUACAUUACUGUUGACAAUGGAGUUCAGCUUCAAUGUGUGUAUUCACAUCUGGGAUGCCAUGUUGGGCGAUCCCGAAGGUUCUCCGGACACCUUGCUGAGGAUAUGCUGUGCUAUGCUCAUCCUUGUCCGGAAGCGGCUCCUGGUUGGAGAUUUCACCGCCAAUAUCCAGCUGCUGCAGCACUACCCGCAAACUAACAUAGAUCACCUCCUCCACAUCGCUAACAGAUUGAGAGGAACCAUGCCCAGCUAG
RNAcentral lists this ribosomal RNA (1299 nucleotides) under Triticum aestivum (bread wheat). Its description in RNAcentral is "partial small subunit ribosomal RNA". The record is from RNAcentral. Lineage: Eukaryota; Viridiplantae; Streptophyta; Magnoliopsida; Poales; Poaceae.